CGCCUCGGUAGUUAGGGAGGGGCGGGCUGCAUCCCUGAUGGUAGGACCCCCUGGUCUGUUAAGGACGCCAAACGAAGUGCCGCCAAGGCAUUGCCAAAGGGCACCGUCGGUGAGAUACACCGUGUCUUCCGAGCUGCUCAAGUGGGAAAAGAAAAAAUGCCUUAGAUUGCUGGCCAUCUUGCCCUCCCUGGAGGAGAGCCUGGCUGAGGAGCUGGCCAGGUUCCGGAGGAGAGCUGCUGACUCUCCAUACGCCGCGGCGUCUUCUCUCGUGGCCCAGAAACACUCGCUGGGAGGCCGCUGGCUGGAGUUCUGGAGGCUUCUGAAACAGACCCGGCCUCCCCCACGUCUUGCUGAAAGAUGCUUGAGUGCCUGCCCACUAUGUGCCAGCAGCAGUGCCGCCAGCAGGAGGAAUGCCAUGCUUUCAGAAUGGUCACUUUUCAUUUUGGUGCAAAUACCACCUUCUACUACUGGCAGUGCAAGGAAACAGAAAGUAGAUCUUUGAAACAUGUGGCCACCAGAGGGAGCACUAAACACAGAAGUCCAGAUGUGUCUCCCUCCUUGCCUUGGAGAUCUGCCCCAACCUGGCUCUCCAGCCACACCGCCAUCCAUCAAAGGUGCCAAGCUCCCAUCAACCUCUGUCCACGUGCUCCCGCCCCAAAACUUUUCCCAACAUUCCUUUUCUUUGGCUUUUAUCUAGAGCUCUUUUAUUUUUAUCCCUCAAUUUAUUUUUAUUUAUUUAUAAUAUUUUAUUUAAAUUCAAUCUCCA
Molecule: long non-coding RNA, 766 nt
Filed under: Vulpes vulpes (red fox)
Lineage: Eukaryota; Metazoa; Chordata; Mammalia; Carnivora; Canidae
Description: lncRNA (ENSVVUG00000015886.1)
Source: RNAcentral